GACGAACGCUGGCGGCGUGCCUAAUACAUGCAAGUGGGACGCACUGAUUUCACGGGAGCUUGCUCCACGAGGUCAGUGAGUCGCGAACGGGUGAGUAACGCGUAGGUAACCUGCCUACUAGCGGGGGAUAACUAUUGGAAACGAUAGCUAAUACCGCAUGCUAGCUUUUAGCGCAUGCUAGGAGCUUAAAAGAUGCAACUGCAUCACUAGUAGAUGGACCUGCGUUGUAUUAGCUAGUUGGUAAGGUAAGAGCUUACCAAGGCGACGAUACAUAGCCGACCUGAGAGGGUGAACGGCCACACUGGGACUGAGACACGGCCCAGACUCCUACGGGAGGCAGCAGUAGGGAAUCUUCGGCAAUGGACGAAAGUCUGACCGAGCAACGCCGCGUGAGUGAAGAAGGUUUUCGGAUCGUAAAGCUCUGUUGUAAGCGAAGAACGGGUGUAAGAGUGGAAAGCUUAGACUGUGACGGUAGCUUACCAGAAAGGGACGGCUAACUACGUGCCAGCAGCCGCGGUAAUACGUAGGUCCCGAGCGUUGUCCGGAUUUAUUGGGCGUAAAGGGAGCGCAGGCGGUUAGGAAAGUCUGGAGUAAAAGGCUAUGGCUCAACCAUAGUGUGCUCUGGAAACUGUCUGACUUGAGUGCAGAAGGGGAGAGUGGAAUUCCAUGUGUAGCGGUGAAAUGCGUAGAUAUAUGGAGGAACACCAGUGGCGAAAGCGGCUCUCUGGUCUGUCACUGACGCUGAGGCUCGAAAGCGUGGGUAGCGAACAGGAUUAGAUACCCUGGUAGUCCACGCCGUAAACGCUGAGUGCUAGGUGUUAGGCCCUUUCCGGGGCUUAGUGCCGGAGCUAACGCAAUAAGCACUCCGCCUGGGGAGUACGACCGCAAGGUUGAAACUCAAAGGAAUUGACGGGGGCCCGCACAAGCGGUGGAGCAUGUGGUUUAAUUCGAAGCAACGCGAAGAACCUUACCAGGUCUUGACAUCCCGAUGUUAUUCUUAGAGAUAAGAAGUUACUUCGGUACAUCGGAGACAGGUGGUGCAUGGUUGUCGUCAGCUCGUGUCGUGAGAUGUUGGGUUAAGUCCCGCAACGAGCGCAACCCUUAUUGUUAGUUGCCAUCAUUAAGUUGGGCACUCUAGCGAGACUGCCGGUAAUAAACCGGAGGAAGGUGGGGAUGACGUCAAAUCAUCAUGCCCCUUAUGACCUGGGCUACACACGUGCUACAAUGGUCGGUACAACGAGUUGCGAGCCGGUGACGGCAAGCUAAUCUCUGAAAGCCGAUCUCAGUUCGGAUUGGAGGCUGCAACUCGCCUCCAUGAAGUCGGAAUCGCUAGUAAUCGCGGAUCAGCACGCCGCGGUGAAUACGUUCCCGGGCCUUGUACACACCGCCCGUCACACCACGAGAGUUUGUAACACCCGAAGUCGGUGAGGUAACCGUUAAGGGGCCAGCCGCCUA
This 1455-nucleotide ribosomal RNA is filed under the name Streptococcus troglodytae. RNAcentral's name for it is "bacterial SSU rRNA". It matches the Rfam family "Bacterial small subunit ribosomal RNA". Lineage: Bacteria; Bacillati; Bacillota; Bacilli; Lactobacillales; Streptococcaceae. The record is from RNAcentral.